Acanthosepion pharaonis is the source of this 111-nucleotide non-coding RNA. NCBI's taxonomy places the organism in Eukaryota, Metazoa, Mollusca, Cephalopoda, Sepiida, Sepiidae. The record is from the annotation of a GenBank genome assembly.
UUAUGGCCAUACCAGAUUGAAACACUGGUUCUUGUAUGAUCACUGAAGUUAAGCAACACUCAGCCUGUCAGUACUUAGAUGGGUGACUGUUUGGGAAUGCCAGGUGCUAUA